UCACAUCGCUUCACAAGGUUUAGUGGAUUCAGAAGGACAUCUGGACUCCAGGAAAAUUUAAGCGUAGCAUUUUGAGACUUCCCUAAGGCCCCCUUCUCUAGUACGCAAUCGCGGAUUCACCAGCUUGAGUCAGUUGGCCUCAGUUUUGCUUUUGGAGGUUUAAGUCGGGUGGUGGGAAGAGAUACAUUUCCAUUCCUGAUAUGGCCACAAGAGGGAGCUCCCAAUGGUCGGCUGCACCUGAAAGUCCUGUCCGUGAAAACUGACAAAGAAAACUUGAUUUAAAAGGCGUCUUCUGAUAAACCUCAGCAUCUCCUUACUAACAUACUAAGAGCAAUCACUGAACACUUUUCGUAUGUUCAAUGCGUCCUCGCGGGAUCUGAGAAGCAUUGUCCUAUUAAAUCUCAGUCGUCUGAUUUUCAGCAUCAAUUUAUCUUGGGAGCUGCUCCUGCAUUUUAUAAGGUGAAUUCUACAGCAACGAGAUUAAAGAUUCAGAAAGUCUUAUUGGCUGUGCAAACUUGAGGGAGUUGCCUAACCACUCUGGGCCCUGUUUUCCUGGCUUUGCCACUCUUCAGCUGUGUGACCCGGGGAAGCUCUCAACCUCUUUGUGCCUCCAUUUCCACAUCUGUAAAAUGGGGAUAUGAAAGUGGCUGCUUUGUGAAGAGUCCUGAGAAUAAAUGAGUUAAGGAAAACUGAUAUGGAUAAAUAUGGAAGAGAGCUGGCCAGUGGAUGAAAUGGUGAUGUAAAGGUUAAGAGAAAUAAAAGCAGGAGACGAGGAGAGAGUCACACCACGGUGAGCAGAGAGUUGAGCUGGGGCCCGGGACAAGCAUCAAAAGUGUCACUUCCUCUGAGGUCCCAACCCUACUUCCAUAGGCUCUGCAGCCCACACCACCUUGGAACCAAACAGGGAGGUGGCAGAACUGAUGGGCUG
RNAcentral lists this long non-coding RNA (928 nucleotides) under Homo sapiens (human). RNAcentral describes it as "non-protein coding lnc-SOD3-3:3". The record is from RNAcentral. Lineage: Eukaryota; Metazoa; Chordata; Mammalia; Primates; Hominidae.